Molecule: ribosomal RNA, 253 nt
Filed under: uncultured bacterium
Lineage: Bacteria
Description: partial 16S ribosomal RNA
Rfam family: Bacterial small subunit ribosomal RNA
Source: RNAcentral
UACGGAGGGUGCAAGCGUUAUCCGGAUUCACUGGGUUUAAAGGGUGCGCAGGCGGGUUAGUAAGUCAGGGGUGAAAUCUCACGGCUCAACCGUGAAAUUGCCUUUGAUACUGCUAACCUUGAGUUCGGGAGAGGUCGAUGGAAUUCCAGGUGUAGCGGUGAAAUGCGUAGAUAUCUGGAAGAACACCAGUAGCGAAGGCGGUCGACUGGCCCGUAACUGACGCUCAGGCACGAAAGCGUGGGGAGCGAACAGG